This 493-nucleotide ribosomal RNA is filed under the name uncultured bacterium. RNAcentral describes it as "partial 16S ribosomal RNA". It matches the Rfam family "Bacterial small subunit ribosomal RNA", at positions 31 to 506 of the family's 1533-position model. The record is from RNAcentral.
GAACGCUGGCGGCGUGCCUAAUACAUGCAAGUCGAGCGAACAGACGAGGAGCUUGCUCCUCUGACGUUAGCGGCGGACGGGUGAGUAACACGUGGAUAACCUACCUAUAAGACUGGGAUAACUUCGGGAAACCGGAGCUAAUACCGGAUAAUAUAUUGAACCGCAUGGUUCAAUAGUGAAAGACGGUUUUGCUGUCACUUAUAGAUGGAUCCGCGCCGCAUUAGCUAGUUGGUAAGGUAACGGCUUACCAAGGCAACGAUGCGUAGCCGACCUGAGAGGGUGAUCGGCCACACUGGAACUGAGACACGGUCCAGACUCCUACGGGAGGCAGCAGUAGGGAAUCUUCCGCAAUGGGCGAAAGCUUGACGGAGCAACGCCGCGUGAGUGAUGAAGGUCUUCGGAUCGUAAAACUCUGUUAUUAGGGAAGAACAAAUGUGUAAGUAACUAUGCACGUCUUGACGGUACCUAAUCAGAAAGCCACGGCUAACUACGU